Molecule: ribosomal RNA, 497 nt
Filed under: uncultured bacterium
Lineage: Bacteria
Description: partial 16S ribosomal RNA
Rfam family: Bacterial small subunit ribosomal RNA
Source: RNAcentral
GACGAACGCUGGCGGCGUGCCUAAUACAUGCAAGUUGAGCGCUGAAGGUUGGUACUUGUACCAACUGGAUGAGCAGCGAACGGGUGAGUAACGCGUGGGGAAUCUGCCUUUGAGCGGGGGACAACAUUUGGAAACGAAUGCUAAUACCGCAUAAAAACUUUAAACACAAGUUUUAAGUUUGAAAGAUGCAAUUGCAUCACUCAAAGAUGAUCCCGCGUUGGAUUAGCUAGUUGGUGAGGUAAAGGCUCACCAAGGCGAUGAUACAUAGCCGACCUGAGAGGGUGAUCGGCCACAUUGGGACUGGGACACGGCCCAAACUCCUACGGGAGGCAGCAGUAGGGAAUCUUCGGCAAUGGACGAAAGUCUGACCGAGCAACGCCGGGUGAGUGAAGAAGGUUUUCGGAUCGUAAAACUCUGUUGGUAGAGAAGAACGUUGGUGAGAGUGGAAAGCUCAUCAAGUGACGGUAACUACCCAGAAAGGGACGGCUAACUACGUG